UACGUAGGGGGCGAGCGUUGUCCGGAUUUAUUGGGCGUAAAGCGUGCGUAGGCGGCUGCGCAAGUCGGUUGUGAAACCCCGGGGCUCAACCCCGGAACUGCAUCCGAUACUGGAUGGCUUGAAUCCGGGAGAGGGAUGCAGAAUUCCAGGUGUAGCGGUGAAAUGCGUAGAUAUGUGGAGGAACACCGAUGGCGAAGGCAGCCCCCUGGGUUAACACUGACGCUCAUGCACGAAAGCGUGGGGAGCAAACAGG
This 253-nucleotide ribosomal RNA is filed under the name uncultured bacterium. Its description in RNAcentral is "partial 16S ribosomal RNA". It matches the Rfam family "Bacterial small subunit ribosomal RNA", at positions 524 to 776 of the family's 1533-position model. The record is from RNAcentral.